Cricetulus griseus (Chinese hamster) is the source of this 116-nucleotide small nucleolar RNA. NCBI's taxonomy places the organism in Eukaryota, Metazoa, Chordata, Mammalia, Rodentia, Cricetidae. The record is from Ensembl.
AGAUCAUUUCAAAGAAGGCUCCCGAGGCCAUGAAACUAAGAGCUUAGUGCUGUUGUGACAGAAGUUAAGGAUGGCAUUCACUCCACAGCCCUCUAUUUUCCUGAGGAGAGAUAAUG